AUUGAACGCUGGCGGCGUGCUUAACACAUGCAAGUCGAACGUGAAAGUCCUUCGGGGCGAGUAAAGUGGCGCACGGGUGAGUAACGCGUGGAUAAUCUACCCUUAAGAUGGGGAUAACGGCUGGAAACGGUCGCUAAUACCGAAUACGCUCCCGAUUUUAUCGUUGGGGGGAAAGAUGGCCUCUGCUUGCAAGCUAUCGCCUAAGGAUGAGUCCGCGUCCCAUUAGCUAGUUGGCGGGGUAACGGCCCACCAAGGCAACGAUGGGUAGCCGGUCUGAGAGGAUGACCGGCCACACUGGAACUGGAACACGGUCCAGACUCCUACGGGAGGCAGCAGUGGGGAAUAUUGCGCAAUGGGCGAAAGCCUGACGCAGCGACGCCGCGUGAGGGAUGAAGGUUCUCGGAUCGUAAACCUCUGUCAGGGGG
Molecule: ribosomal RNA, 425 nt
Filed under: uncultured bacterium
Lineage: Bacteria
Description: bacterial SSU rRNA
Rfam family: Bacterial small subunit ribosomal RNA
Source: RNAcentral